UAGGGAAUCUUUCACAAUGGGCGGAAAGCCUGAUGGAGCAACGCCGCGUGUGUGAUGAAGGCUUUCGGGUCGUAAAGCACUGUUGUAUGGGAAGAACAGCUAGAAUAGGAAAUGAUUUUAGUUUGACGGUACCAUACCAGAAAGGGACGGCUAAAUACGUGCCAA
RNAcentral lists this ribosomal RNA (165 nucleotides) under uncultured bacterium. RNAcentral describes it as "partial 16S rRNA". It matches the Rfam family "Bacterial small subunit ribosomal RNA", at positions 355 to 511 of the family's 1533-position model. The record is from RNAcentral.